AGUGAACGCUGGCGGUAGGCCUAACACAUGCAAGUCGAACGGCAGCACAGUAAGAGCUUGCUCUUACGGGUGGCGAGUGGCGGACGGGUGAGGAAUACAUCGGAAUCUACUUUUUCGUGGGGGAUAACGUAGGGAAACUUACGCUAAUACCGCAUACGACCUACGGGUGAAAGCAGGGGAUCUUCGGACUUUGCGCGAUUGAAUGAGCCGAUGUCGGUUUAGCUAGUUGGCGGGGUAAAGGCCCACCAAGGCGAGGAUCCGUAGCUGGUCUGAGAGGAUGAUCAGCCACACUGGAACUGAGACACGGUCCAGACUGCUACGGGGUGAAGCAGUGGGGAAUAUUGGGCAAUGGGCGGAAGCCUAGUCCAGCCCUACCGGGUGGGUUGAGGAGGCCUUCGGGUUGGAAAAGCCUUUUGAUGGGAAAGAAAAGCAGCAGGUUAAUACCCCGCUGUUCUGACGGUACCCAAAGAAUAAGCACCGGCUAACUUCGUG
Molecule: ribosomal RNA, 492 nt
Filed under: uncultured bacterium
Lineage: Bacteria
Description: partial 16S ribosomal RNA
Rfam family: Bacterial small subunit ribosomal RNA
Source: RNAcentral